RNAcentral lists this ribosomal RNA (485 nucleotides) under uncultured bacterium. RNAcentral describes it as "partial 16S ribosomal RNA". It matches the Rfam family "Bacterial small subunit ribosomal RNA", at positions 30 to 506 of the family's 1533-position model. The record is from RNAcentral.
AUUGAACGCUGGCGGCAUGCCUUACACAUGCAAGUCGAACGGCAGCACGGGUGCUUGCACCUGGUGGCGAGUGGCGAACGGGUGAGUAAUACAUCGGAACAUGUCCUGUAGUGGGGGAUAGCCCGGCGAAAGCCGGAUUAAUACCGCAUACGAUCUACGGAUGAAAGCGGGGGACCUUCGGGCCUCGCGCUAUAGGGUUGGCCGAUAGCUGAUUAGCUAGUUGGUGGGGUAAAGGCCUACCAAGGCGACGAUCAGUAGCUGGUCUGAGAGGACGACCAGCCACACUGGGACUGAGACACGGCCCAGACUCCUACGGGAGGCAGCAGUGGGGAAUUUUGGACAAUGGGGGAAAGCCUGAUCCAGCAAUGCCGCGUGGGUGAAGAAGGCCUUCGGGUUGUAAAGCACUUUUGUCCGGAAAGAAAUCCUUGGCUCUAAUACAGUCGGGGGAUGACGGUACCGGAAGAAUAAGCACCGGCUAACUACGU